GGCUAUUGCCGCUGCCGCUUCCACCGCAGUGUGAAGAAAAAGGGUCUGAAACAAAGUCUUACCAACGUCUGCUUUUGAACACAGUGACUGCUGGAUCUUUAAACAUCAAGUUCAGCUUUGUCUGUCAACCUGUCUGACAUGUCGGGACCCGUGCCAAGCAGGGCCAGAGUUUACACAGAUGUUAACACACACAGACCCCGAGAGUACUGGGAUUAUGAAUCACAUGUGGUGGAAUGGGGGAAUCAAGAUGACUACCAGCUUGUUCGAAAAUUAGGUAGGGGCAAAUACAGUGAAGUGUUUGAAGCCAUCAACAUCACAAAUAAUGAAAAAGUUGUUGUUAAAAUUCUCAAGCCAGUAAAAAAGAAGAAAAUUAAGCGUGAAAUAAAGAUUUUGGAGAAUUUGAGAGGUGGGCCCAACAUCAUCACACUUGCAGACAUUGUAAAAGACCCUGUGUCACGAACCCCUGCCUUGGUUUUUGAACAUGUAAACAACACAGACUUCAAGCAAUUGUACCAGACGUUAACAGACUAUGACAUUCGAUUUUACAUGUAUGAAAUUCUGAAAGCCCUGGAUUAUUGUCACAGCAUGGGGAUUAUGCACAGAGAUGUGAAACCCCAUAAUGUCAUGAUUGAUCAUGAGCACAGAAAGCUUCGGCUAAUAGACUGGGGUUUAGCUGAGUUUUACCAUCCAGGCCAAGAGUAUAAUGUCCGAGUUGCUUCUCGAUAUUUCAAAGGUCCAGAGCUACUUGUAGAUUAUCAGAUGUACGAUUAUAGUUUGGAUAUGUGGAGCUUGGGUUGUAUGCUGGCCAGUAUGAUCUUCCGGAAGGAGCCAUUUUUCCAUGGACAUGACAAUUAUGAUCAGUUGGUGAGGAUAGCCAAGGUUCUGGGAACAGAAGAUUUAUAUGACUAUAUUGACAAGUACAACAUUGAAUUAGAUCCACGUUUCAACGAUAUCUUGGGCAGACACUCCCGUAAGCGAUGGGAACGCUUUGUCCACAGUGAAAACCAGCAUCUUGUCAGCCCUGAGGCCUUGGAUUUUCUGGACAAGCUGCUUCGAUAUGACCACCAGUCACGGCUCACUGCAAGAGAGGCCAUGGAGCACCCUUACUUCUACACUGUUGUGAAGGACCAGGCUCGAAUGAGUUCCACUAGCAUGGCAGGGGGCAGCACACCUGUCAGCAGCGCCAAUAUGAUGUCAGGGAUUUCUUCAGUGCCAACUCCUUCACCCCUUGGACCUCUGGCAGGCUCACCAGUGAUUGCCGCUGCCAACUCACUUGGGAUACCUGUUCCAGCUGCUGCUGGCGCUCAGCAGUAAUGACCCCCAUCUACCUUCUGAUGCCUGAGCAGAGGUGGGGAAGUCCACCCUCUCCUCGAUGCAGCUUGCGCCUGGUUGGGAGGGGUGAGAACACUUCAGAAGCACCGUGUCUGAACCGUUGCUUGUGGAUUUAGUAGUUGAGUCAUAAAAAAAAAAUUAUAGGC
RNA transcript from Mus musculus (house mouse), 1478 nucleotides. It is a transcript of the gene named casein kinase 2, alpha 1 polypeptide, pseudogene 3, with no coding region annotated. Lineage: Eukaryota; Metazoa; Chordata; Mammalia; Rodentia; Muridae. The transcript has a single exon. The record is from RefSeq and is marked validated.